This 492-nucleotide ribosomal RNA is filed under the name uncultured bacterium. RNAcentral's name for it is "partial 16S ribosomal RNA". It matches the Rfam family "Bacterial small subunit ribosomal RNA", at positions 30 to 507 of the family's 1533-position model. The record is from RNAcentral.
AUUGAACGCUGGCGGCAUGCUUUACACAUGCAAGUCGAACGGUAACAGGCCUUCGGUUGCUGACGAGCGGCGACCGGGUGCGUAAUGCAAAGGCACGUAUCCAGAGGCGGGGGAUAACGGAGCGCAAGCUGUGAUAAUACCGAAUGUGAUCUGAGGAUGUAAGCGGGGGGCCGAGAAGCUAAAUUUCGCCUUUGGCGUUUGGUGUGGACGAUGUCGGAUUAGCUAGUUGGUAGGGUAAAGGCCUACCAAGGCGACGAUCCGUAGCUGGUCUGAGAGGACGACCAGCCACACUGGGACUGAGACACGGCCCAGACUCCUACGGGAGGCAGCAGUGGGGAAUUUUGGACAAUGGGCGCAAGCCUGAUGCAGCAAUGCCGCGUGCGGGAAGAAGGCCUUCGGGUUGUAAACCGCUUUUAGCAGGAACGAAACAGUGUCCGAUAAUACCGGGCGGUAAUGACGGUACCUGCAGAAUAAGCACCGGCUAACUACGUG